RNAcentral lists this unclassified non-coding RNA (376 nucleotides) under Hevea brasiliensis (rubber tree). Lineage: Eukaryota; Viridiplantae; Streptophyta; Magnoliopsida; Malpighiales; Euphorbiaceae. The record is from RNAcentral.
CUUGACUUCUCCGAGGUCUCGCUCUCUCCUCCUCCUGCUCGAGCCGCCACCAUGUUCGCCCCGGCGACUCGCCUCGCCACCCAGCGCCUCCUCCAGAUCCGCCGCGCACUCCGGCCCUCCGCUCACCUCGCCUUCCCCACCGCCGCCUCCACCUCGACCUCGAGAUUCUUUUCCUCCGCCUUAAACUACCACAUCGACUCCCCCGACAACAACCCCGCCGUGCCAUGGGAGUUCAAUGCAAGCAAUCAGGAAAAGAUCAAGGAUAUAUUGUCCCACUAUCCUUCCAACUACAAGCAAUCUGCUGUUAUUCCAUUGUUGGAUCUUGCUCAACAGCAACAUGGGGGGUGGCUCCCAGUCUCUGCGAUGGAUGCGGUUG